Molecule: long non-coding RNA, 510 nt
Organism: Homo sapiens (human)
Lineage: Eukaryota; Metazoa; Chordata; Mammalia; Primates; Hominidae
Exons: 4
Source: RefSeq, a predicted model, not a curated record
AAAAGAAACUUGUGAUCCCUCAUCUUGAAGUCCUGGAAAACAGCCCUGGACAGAUGGCUAUUUCUUUACAAUUGCAUCGAACCCACUUAUGGAAUAUAGAGGUAGAACUGUAAGCAGAGCACCCAUGCAGCAUCUCUGUCAUGAACUUCAGAUUAGAGCACUGAGGAUCAUGGAUAAGGAAGAGGCUCUCAGAGUCUAAGGAAGACAACAGACAAUGUUAUAGAAAAUGAGUUUAUGGGAUGAAUAUGAAGAUGAGAGAGAAUCUGUGGAAUUUUGAGAAGAGAGAAUCCAACAAAUUGCCUCUGUUAUUUGAAUUGCUGUGGUAUUGAGAGAGGAUUGAAGAAGGAAGACACUGCCAAAUCACUGGGGUUUGUGAAAACUUGGUGAGAAAUUUCUUCCUUGAGUCACGGCAGACCCAGGGAGUUGCCUAAGAAUCUUCUGUGAUGCGUUAAGCCAGCCAGCCUGUCAGUGAGCCUUAGUGUAUUUUGGGUUAUCCUCAGAAGAAAACAA